Molecule: ribosomal RNA, 500 nt
Filed under: Bacillus amyloliquefaciens
Lineage: Bacteria; Bacillati; Bacillota; Bacilli; Caryophanales; Bacillaceae
Description: bacterial SSU rRNA
Rfam family: Bacterial small subunit ribosomal RNA
Source: RNAcentral
UGGUCUGUAACUGACGCUGAGGAGCGAAAGCGUGGGGAGCGAACAGGAUUAGAUACCCUGGUAGUCCACGCCGUAAACGAUGAGUGCUAAGUGUUAGGGGGUUUCCGCCCCUUAGUGCUGCAGCUAACGCAUUAAGCACUCCGCCUGGGGAGUACGGUCGCAAGACUGAAACUCAAAGGAAUUGACGGGGGCCCGCACAAGCGGUGGAGCAUGUGGUUUAAUUCGAAGCAACGCGAAGAACCUUACCAGGUCUUGACAUCCUCUGACAAUCCUAGAGAUAGGACGUCCCCUUCGGGGGCAGAGUGACAGGUGGUGCAUGGUUGUCGUCAGCUCGUGUCGUGAGAUGUUGGGUUAAGUCCCGCAACGAGCGCAACCCUUGAUCUUAGUUGCCAGCAUUCAGUUGGGCACUCUAAGGUGACUGCCGGUGACAAACCGGAGGAAGGUGGGGAUGACGUCAAAUCAUCAUGCCCCUUAUGACCUGGGCUACACACGUGCUACAA